This 415-nucleotide unclassified non-coding RNA is filed under the name Zea mays. Its description in RNAcentral is "misc RNA Zm00001eb158670". Lineage: Eukaryota; Viridiplantae; Streptophyta; Magnoliopsida; Poales; Poaceae. The record is from RNAcentral.
UGGAAUGAAGUUCUAGCAUUGUCCUUGUGAUGUUACAUGACACAUGGCAAAAAAAAAACUAGCAGAUGGUUCGCAUACUCGUUACUACUAAAGCUAAAUCAUCAAUGCAAUCAAGAAUCAAACCGUUCCCAAUGUGCUGUAACCUCAGUCAAAGGAAGAAGAAAACCACCAUCAUAUAUGUCUCCAACAGUGUGGCUCUAAUAAUUUCCCUGCAGACAAAGUACAUUACACCUGCUGGCAGGACUACUAGUACCACGCCACAGUGUUUCCAGCAUUAUUAUUAUUAUUAUUAUUAUUAUUUUUACCUAUGGGUACUGCCACACUGUAUCCAUCUUUCUCUGCCCGGCGCUUAUAUAACGCCUCCCCAUGCUUCUACUCCUUUCCAAUCUGUGUUUGUCUUUGCUUGCCCCCCUUC